Molecule: unclassified non-coding RNA, 298 nt
Organism: Vombatus ursinus (common wombat)
Lineage: Eukaryota; Metazoa; Chordata; Mammalia; Diprotodontia; Vombatidae
Rfam family: Metazoan signal recognition particle RNA
About the family: The signal recognition particle (SRP) is a universally conserved ribonucleoprotein. It is involved in the co-translational targeting of proteins to membranes.
Source: Ensembl
ACUGAGUGUGGUGGUACAUACCUAUAAUCUCUGCUAACAAGAAGGUUGAGGUGGGUGGAUCUCUUGAGAUCAGGAAUUUUGAGUUGCAAUGUCUAAAUUGAUCAGACAGCCUCACUAAGUCUGGCACCAGUAUGGUUAACCCUGGGAGCAGGGGGCCACUUGGUUUCCUAAAGAGGGACAAACUGGCCCAGGGUAGAAAUGAGCAGAUUAAAGCUUUCAUGCCAUCCAGUACGGAGAUCAAGCCUAGGAGUGGCUGCUGCACUUCCAGCCUGGGCAAGAUAGGGAGACACAUUCUCAA